This 460-nucleotide ribosomal RNA is filed under the name uncultured bacterium. RNAcentral's name for it is "partial 16S ribosomal RNA". It matches the Rfam family "Bacterial small subunit ribosomal RNA", at positions 338 to 795 of the family's 1533-position model. The record is from RNAcentral.
CCUACGGGAGGCAGCAGUGAGGAAUAUUGGUCAAUGGACGAGAGUCUGAACCAGCCAAGUAGCGUGAAGGAUGACUGCCCUAUGGGUUGUAAACUUCUUUUAUAUGGGAAUAAAACGUUCCACGUGUGGGAUUUUGUAUGUACCAUAUGAAUAAGGAUCGGCUAACUCCGUGCCAGCAGCCGCGGUAAUACGGAGGAUCCGAGCGUUAUCCGGAUUUAUUGGGUUUAAAGGGAGCGUAGGUGGAUUGUUAAGUCAGUUGUGAAAGUUUGCGGCUCAACCGUAAAAUUGCAGUUGAAACUGGCAGUCUUGAGUACGGUAGAGGUGGGCGGAAUUCGUGGUGGAGCGGUGAAAUGCUUAGAUAUCACGAAGAACUCCGAUUGCGAAGGCAGUUCACUGGACUGCAACUGACACUGAGGCUCGAAAGUGUGGGUAUCAAACAGGAUUAGAUACCCGAGUAGUC